AAAAGAAAAAACAAACCACAUGAUUCAGGCUCAGGCCACUUCUUUGCUCAAAACCUUCCAAUACACCCCAUUUCACACCGAGUAACCAAGGUUCUCCAAUGGCUCAUGAGGCCCCAAAUGCCCUGAGCCCUGUUAUCUUUCUGGCUCUAGACUCCUUUCUUUCUUUUUUUCUUGUCUUUUGGCCUCUUCUAGGGCCGCUCCUGCGCGGCAUAUGGAGGUUCCCAGGUUAGGGGGUCUAAUCAGAGCCUAUGCCAGGGCCACAGCAACGCAGGAUCUGAGCCGCAUCUGCAACCUAUGAAAGGAUGAAAAUGCAACCUGACUCUCCCAGAACCCAGGAAGUUAAUAAGAAGCUCUAAAUGCCCUCGAAUUCCGGACCCUGUUCCCUAUAGGUAAAAGAUCAUACUUUUUGCUGUUUUACGGCUUGCUUUCUGCUCUGUACAAAACUUUGUGGAAGGGGAAAAACAGGCCCCUGAGUAUGUGCCUCUAUGCUUGAAACUUCUUGAAACUGCUCCUAACUGCUUGUUUGGCUUCUGUAAACCUGCUUGCAUAAGAUAAAAAGAGGAGAAGUCAAUUGCCUAACCGACCCCAGUAAGAUCGGGCGUGCCACAAAAUGUUGAAAAUCCUGAUAAAUAUAUCUUGGUGACAAUAUGUCUCCCCCACCCAGAGACAGGCACAAACAUGUAACUCCAGAACAACUUAAAAUUAAUUGGUCCACAAAGCGCGGGCUCUUGAAGUUUUGAAUUGACUGGUUUGCGAUAUUUUAAAAAUGAUUAGUUUGUAAAAGCGCGGGCUUUGUUGUGAACCCCAUAAAAGCUGUCCCGACUCCACACUCGGGGCCGCAGUCCUCUACCCCUGCGUGGCGUACGACUGUGGGCCCCAGCGCGCUCGGAAUAAAAAUCCUCUUGCUGUUUGCAUCAAGACUGCUUCUCGUGAGUGAUUUGGGGUGUCGCCUCUUCCGAGUCAGGACGAGAGGGAUUUUAACUCGACUGGGCUUUCAUUUUGGUGCGUUGGCCGGGAAACCCGCGACUACCCCUCACACCCGAGAACCGACUUGGAGCCUUUGUUCUCUAGGCUCAAGGCGCUCGAGUGGGUGAGGCAGCGAGCGUGGAAGCAGUCCGGGAGCCUACUCAGGAGGAGACUUGCAAGUUCCACAUCGCUUCCAAGUUGGGGAUUCAGUCUAUGUUAGACGCCACCGUGCAGGAAACCUCGAGACUCGGUGGAAGGGCCCUUAUCUCGUACUUUUGACCACACCAACGACUGUGAAAGUCGA
RNAcentral lists this long non-coding RNA (1270 nucleotides) under Sus scrofa (pig). Its description in RNAcentral is "lncRNA (ENSSSCG00070018405.1)". Lineage: Eukaryota; Metazoa; Chordata; Mammalia; Artiodactyla; Suidae. The record is from RNAcentral.